RNAcentral lists this ribosomal RNA (774 nucleotides) under uncultured Neocallimastigales. Its description in RNAcentral is "partial large subunit ribosomal RNA". It matches the Rfam family "Eukaryotic large subunit ribosomal RNA", at positions 20 to 612 of the family's 3401-position model. The record is from RNAcentral. Lineage: Eukaryota; Fungi; Neocallimastigomycota; Neocallimastigomycetes; Neocallimastigales.
UACUAGAGUAGCACUCGCAUAUCAAUAAGCGGAGGAAAAGAAACUAACUAGGAUUCCCUCAGUAACGGCGAGUGAAGCGGGAAGAGCUCAAAUUUGAAAUCUUCAAGGUUUUACCUUGACGAAUUGUAGUUUAAAGAAGUGUUUUCUGUUGGUGUUUUGGUAAAAGUUCUUUGGAAUAGGACAUCAUAGAGGGUGAGAAUCCCGUAUUUGACCAUUAUUUUCAGCUGUGUGAUACACUUUCAAAGAGUCGGAUUGUUUGGGAAUGCAGUCCAAAAUGGGUGGUAAAUUUCAUCUAAAGCUAAAUAUUGGCGAGAGACCGAUAGCGAACAAGUACCGUGAGGGAAAGAUGAAAAGAACUUUGAAAAGAGAGUUAAACAGUACGUGAAAUUGUCAAAAGGGAAGCGUUUGACACCAGUGUUGUUUUCUCGAAAAUCAAUUAAAAAAAGUUGGAUUUUGUGUUGUAUUGACCUUAACAGCUUUCUUCACUCUUUUCCUGCUUUUUUUAAUGCACUUUUCGUUUAACAAGUCAACAUCAGUUUCUUUUGUUGUAAAAAGGUCAUUGGAAGGUGGCUUUCUUUUCGGAGAAAGUGUUUAUAGCCUUUGAUCCCUGCAAUCGGAGAGACUGAGGUCUGCAGCGUAGAUCCUUCGGGGUUAGAUACAUUUGUGCUAAGUUAUAGCUUUUUAUAGACAACUUGUUGACUAUAUUUAGUCUUGUAGCUUACUCGCUUAUGCUAUUUUACCUACGCUUAGGAUGUUGAUAGUCACAGCGUGUAC